Molecule: long non-coding RNA, 203 nt
Filed under: Fukomys damarensis (Damara mole-rat)
Lineage: Eukaryota; Metazoa; Chordata; Mammalia; Rodentia; Bathyergidae
Description: lncRNA (ENSFDAG00000030044.1)
Source: RNAcentral
CUGAAAGCUGAUCUCUUGAGUGUAUAGAAGGGAAUUAAAGUCAAGCCUGAGGAUCCCUGCCACUUUCCUCAAACCAUAGAUUUUAUGUUGGAGUUGAUGUUAAGAAGGAAAAGAAGGAGACAGAUGGGGAAAUGACCAAGGAGAUGUGCAAGGGGAAGAAGGAGAAGAAGGAAAAGGAGAAGCAAGAGGAAGAGAAGAAGGAA